This 403-nucleotide ribosomal RNA is filed under the name bacterium. RNAcentral's name for it is "partial 16S ribosomal RNA". It matches the Rfam family "Bacterial small subunit ribosomal RNA", at positions 355 to 776 of the family's 1533-position model. The record is from RNAcentral.
UGGGGAAUACUGCACAAUGGAGGGAACUCUGAUGCAGCGACGCCGCGUGAACGAAGAAGGCUUUCGAGUCGUAAAGUUCUUUUAUAUGGGAAGAUAAUGACGGUACCAUAAGAAAAAGCCCCGGCUAACUACGUGCCAGCAGCCGCGGUAAUACGUAGGGGGCUAGCGUUGUCCGGAAUCACUGGGCGUAAAGGGUUCGCAGGCGGAAAUGCAAGUCAGGUGUAAAAGGCAGUAGCUUAACUACUGUAAGCAUUUGAAACUGCAUAUCUUGAGAAGAGUAGAGGUAAGUGGAAUUUUUAGUGUAGCGGUGAAAUGCGUAGAUAUUAAAAAGAAUACCGGUGGCGAAGGCGACUUACUGGGCUCAUUCUGACGCUGAGGAACGAAAGCGUGGGUAGCAAACAGG